GACGAACGCUGGCGGCGUGCCUAAUACAUGCAAGUUGAGCGCUGAAGGUUGGUACUUGUACCAACUGGAUGAGCAGCGAACGGGUGAGUAACGCGUGGGGAAUCUGCCUUUGAGCGGGGGACAACAUUUGGAAACGAAUGCUAAUACCGCAUAAAAACUUUAAACACAAGUUUUAAGUUUGAAAGAUGCAAUUACAUCACUCAAAGAUGAUCCCGCGUUGUAUUAGCUAGUUGGUGAGGUAAAGGCUCACCAAGGCGAUGAUACAUAGCCGACCUGAGAGGGUGAUCGGCCACAUUGGGACUGAGACACGGCCCAAACUCCUACGGGAGGCAGCAGUAGGGAAUCUUCGGCAAUGGACGAAAGGCUGACCGAGCAACGCCGCGUGAGUGAAGAAGGUUUUCGGAUCGUAAAACUCUGUUGGUAGAGAAGAACGUUGGUGAGAGUGGAAAGCUCAUCAAGUGACGGUAACUACCCAGAAAGGGACGGCUAACUACGUG
This 497-nucleotide ribosomal RNA is filed under the name uncultured bacterium. RNAcentral describes it as "partial 16S ribosomal RNA". It matches the Rfam family "Bacterial small subunit ribosomal RNA", at positions 28 to 507 of the family's 1533-position model. The record is from RNAcentral.